GCUGAUAUGGCUCAGUUGGUAGAGCAGUACAUUCGUAAUGUGCGGGUCGUCAGUUCGAAUCUGACUAUCAGCU
This 73-nucleotide transfer RNA is filed under the name Oscillospiraceae bacterium. RNAcentral's name for it is "tRNA-Thr". It matches the Rfam family "tRNA". Rfam says of the family: Transfer RNA (tRNA) molecules are approximately 80 nucleotides in length. The record is from RNAcentral. Lineage: Bacteria; Bacillati; Bacillota; Clostridia; Eubacteriales; Oscillospiraceae.